Molecule: ribosomal RNA, 248 nt
Filed under: uncultured bacterium
Lineage: Bacteria
Description: partial 16S ribosomal RNA
Rfam family: Bacterial small subunit ribosomal RNA
Source: RNAcentral
AUACGUAGGGGGCAAGCGUUAUCCGGAUUUACUGGGUGUAAAGGGAGCGUCAGGCGGUUCUGCAAGUCUGAUGUGAAAGCCCGGGGCUCAACCCCGGGACUGCAUUGGAAACUGUGGGACUUGAGUGUCGGAGGGGCAAGUGGAAUUCCUAGUGUAGCGGUGAAAUGCGUAGAUAUUAGGAGGAACACCAGUGGCGAAGGCGGCUUGCUGGACAAAUACUGACGCUGAGGUGCGAAAGCGUGGGGAGC